AGUGAACGCUGGCGGUAGGCCUAACACAUGCAAGUCGAACGGCAGCACAGUAAGAGCUUGCUCUUACGGGUGGCGAGUGGCGGACGGGUGAGGAAUACAUCGGAAUCUACUUUUUCGUGGGGGAUAACGUAGGGAAACUUACGCUAAUACCGCAUACGACCUACGGGUGAAGGCAGGGGAUCUUCGGACCUUGCGCGAUUGAAUGAGCCGAUGUCGGAUUAGCUAGUUGGCGGGGUAAAGGCCCACCAAGGCGACGAUCCGUAGCUGGUCUGAGAGGAUGAUCAGCCAAACUGGAACUGAGACACGGUCCAGACUCCUACGGGAGGCAGCAGUGGGGAAUAUUGGACAAUGGGCGCAAGCCUGCUCCAGCCAUACCGCGUGGGUGAAGAAGGCCUUCGGGUUGUAAAGCCCUUUUGUUGGGAAAGAAAAGCAGCAGGUUAAUACCCCGCUGUUCUGACGGUACCCAAAGAAUAAGCACCGGCUAACUUCGUG
Molecule: ribosomal RNA, 492 nt
Filed under: uncultured bacterium
Lineage: Bacteria
Description: partial 16S ribosomal RNA
Rfam family: Bacterial small subunit ribosomal RNA
Source: RNAcentral